Molecule: long non-coding RNA, 396 nt
Filed under: Vigna radiata
Lineage: Eukaryota; Viridiplantae; Streptophyta; Magnoliopsida; Fabales; Fabaceae
Description: long non-coding RNA (VRAD_LNC011523)
Source: RNAcentral
UGAUACACGGGACCCAAGGCCACCAAAUAAAGAACAACCCCAAGAGCAUGGUGAAGGGUAAAAAGGCCAUUUCUACACAAAGGGGGGUGUGCUUAGCUUUCCAUGGGGCGGCAUUAGUAAUUGAAUUUCCCCACAUGUAAAACUCCUUUGUCACGUGCUUUACAAGGCUUUCUAGAAGCCUAGCAUCUUUAACACAUGAUGAAAUAGUGAAUCUGAGAUUUCCGUUGGUGGAGGCCGAGAGAUUCAACUAUAAAUUCUCUUGGCCUAGCUUGUAUGAAUACUUUGGAAUNUAUGAGAAAUUUCUUCAAUAUGAAAUUCAUCUCUGCCAAGCAAAUGCUUACCAAAGUCACUCUUUCCAUCAACUCUCUCCCACCUCUUAGCUUUCUUCCAACANNN